CACGUAGGGGGCGAGCGUUAUCCAGAUUUACUGGGCGUAAAGCGCGUGUAGGCGGCUGGUUAGGUGUGAUGUGAAAGCCCGGGGCUCACCCCCGGAAGUGCAUUGGAAACUGGUGGACUCGAGUCCCGGAGAGGAGAGUGGAAUUCCUGGUGUAGCGGUGAAAUGCGUAGAUAUCAGGAGGAACACCGGUGGCGAAGGCGGCUCUCUGGACGGUGACUGACGCUGAGACGCGAAAGCGUGGGGAGCAAACAGG
Molecule: ribosomal RNA, 253 nt
Filed under: uncultured bacterium
Lineage: Bacteria
Description: partial 16S ribosomal RNA
Rfam family: Bacterial small subunit ribosomal RNA
Source: RNAcentral